CAAAGAUGGGCAUGCGGAACAUUAGCUAGUUGGUAGGGUAACGACCUACCAAGACUACGAUGUUUAGGGGAUCUGAGAGGAUGACCCCCCACACUGGUACUGAGACACGGACCAGACUCCUACGGGAGGCAGCAGUAAGGAAUAUUGGUCAAUGGGCGGAAGCCUGAACCAGCCAUGCCGCGUGCAGGAAGACGGCCCUACGGGUUGUAAACUGCUUUUAUACGGGAAUAAACCUCGGUACGUGUACCGAGCUGAAUGUACUGUAAGAAUAAGGAUCGGCUAACUCCGUGCCAGCAGCCGCGGUAAUACGGAGGAUCCAAGCGUUAUCCGGAUUUAUUGGGUUUAAAGGGUGCGUAGGUGGCCUGGUAAGUCAGGGGUGAAAGACGGUCGCUUAACGAUCGCAGUGCCUUUGAUACUGCCGGGCUUGAAUAAACUAGAGGUAGGCGGGAUGUGACAAGUAGCGGUGAAAUGCAUAGAUAUGUCACAGAACACCGAUUGCGAAGGCAGCUUACUAUGGUUUCAUUGACACUGAGGCACGAAAGCGUGGGGAUCAAACAGGAUUAGAUACCCUGGUAGUCCACGCCCUAAACGAUGAAUACUCGAUGUUGGCGAUAUACGGUCAGCGUCUAAGCGAAAGCGUUAAGUAUUCCACCUGGGGAGUACGCCCGCAAGGGUGAAACUCAAAGGAAUUGACGGGGGCCCGCACAAGCGGAGGAGCAUGUGGUUUAAUUCGAUGAUACGCGAGGAACCUUACCCGGGCUUGAAAGUUAGUGAAUGAGACAGAGACGUCUCAGUCCUUCGGGACACGAAACUAGGUGCUGCAUGGCUGUCGUCAGCUCGUGCCGUGAGGUGUUGGGGUAAGUCCCGCAACGAG
Molecule: ribosomal RNA, 874 nt
Filed under: uncultured Sphingobacteriaceae bacterium
Lineage: Bacteria; Pseudomonadati; Bacteroidota; Sphingobacteriia; Sphingobacteriales; Sphingobacteriaceae
Description: bacterial SSU rRNA
Rfam family: Bacterial small subunit ribosomal RNA
Source: RNAcentral